RNAcentral lists this ribosomal RNA (301 nucleotides) under uncultured bacterium. RNAcentral describes it as "partial 16S ribosomal RNA". It matches the Rfam family "Bacterial small subunit ribosomal RNA", at positions 509 to 807 of the family's 1533-position model. The record is from RNAcentral.
CAGUCGCCGCGGGAAUACAGAGGGUGCGAGCGUUAAUCGGAUUUACUGGGCGUAAAGCGUGCGUAGGCGGCUUCUUAAGUCGGAUGUGAAAUCCCUGAGCUUAACUUAGGAAUUGCAUUCGAUACUGGGAAGCUAGAGUAUGGGAUAGGAUGGUAGAAUUCCAGGUGUAGCGGUGAAAUGCGUAGAGAUCUGGAGGAAUACCGAUGGCGAAGGCAGCCAUCUGGCCUAAUACUGACGCUGAGGUACGAAAGCAUGGGGAGCAAACAGGAUUAGAUACCCCGGUAGUCCCUGUCUCUUAUAC